UACGUAGGGUGCAAGCGUUGUCCGGAAUUACUGGGCGUAAAGCGUGCGUAGUCGGUUAUUUAAGUCGGGUGUGAAAGCCCCGGGCUCAACCUGGGAAUUGCAUUCGAUACUGGAUAGCUAGAGUUCGGCAGAGGGAAGCGGAAUUUCCGGUGUAGCGGUGAAAUGCGUAGAGAUCCGGAGGAACACCCGUGGCUAAGGCGGCUCUCUAGUACGGUACUGACGCUGAGACGCGAAAGCGUGGGGAGCGAACAGG
RNAcentral lists this ribosomal RNA (253 nucleotides) under uncultured bacterium. Its description in RNAcentral is "partial 16S ribosomal RNA". It matches the Rfam family "Bacterial small subunit ribosomal RNA", at positions 524 to 776 of the family's 1533-position model. The record is from RNAcentral.